UACAGAGGGGGCAAGCGUUAUUCGGAAUUAUUGGGCGUAAAGGGCGCGUAGGCGGCCUGGCAAGUGGAAGGUGAAAUCCCUCGGCUUAACCGAGGAGCUGCCCUCCAAACUGCUUGGCUUGAGUCCGGGAGAGGUGAGUGGAAUUCCCAGUGUAGCGGUGAAAUGCGUAGAUAUUGGGAGGAACACCAGUGGCGAAGGCGGCUCACUGGACCGGAACUGACGCUGAGGCGCGAAAGCGUGGGGAGCGAACAGG
Molecule: ribosomal RNA, 253 nt
Filed under: uncultured bacterium
Lineage: Bacteria
Description: partial 16S ribosomal RNA
Rfam family: Bacterial small subunit ribosomal RNA
Source: RNAcentral